UUCAAAAUCCCCAAUUCUUUCAAAAUCCCCAAAUCUCAGCCGUCCGCCAUGAGCGACCGCCGCGACAGGGACAGAGAUAGAAACAGAGACCGAGAUCGUGACCGGAAAAGAGUCCGCGACGACCGUGACCUCGAUCGCGACCGCGACCGAGACCGCGAUCGUAGCAGACGCUCCCACUCUCGCACGCCCGACCGCACAAGAUCCCGGCACACACGCUCUCGAACUCGUUCGCCCGACGAGAGGGACCGCCACCGCCACAGACACCGCCACCACCGCUCUCGCUCUCGCUCCCCUACCUCCCCUGCUCGUAAGCGCCUCAAGGACGACGUCGUUCUCAAGGACAAGGACGACGCCGUUUCGAAGGAUAAGAAGCAGAAGGAGAACGCCUCUGCUGGCAGUGAUGAUGUGAAUAAGGAUCUGGAAUUGAUGGAUGAGGAUGAGAUGGAGAUGAUGAAGAAAUUCGGCAUUCCAGCGGGGUUCGAUUCCACCAAGGGGAAGCCGGUGGCAGGAAACGACGUCGGUGCGGUGAGGAAAGUCACGAAGCGGCAGCCACGCCAGUACAUGAACCGCCGCGGCGGAUUCAAUCGCCCUCUCCCUCCCGAGCGUAAUCGUUGAUAACUGACCAUUGCCUGCAGAUAGAAGCGUGCGAUGAUCUUCAUUGAACUAGGAGAUAUUUUCGUUGAUUAAAUUGGACAACUGAAGAAGAUGUAAGACUUCCAUUAACUUGUUUAAUGGAAAAUGCUUCUGUGCAAUUUCCCAGAAUUGUUUCUGAUUCUAAUGUGAUUCCAAUUUCUCUAUGCUGUAUACUAAACAGUAUAUUUCUGUAACCUUUGGCUGCUUACAAAUACUGUUGCUGGUGGCUAAGAGGGUUCAAUCAUGAUAUUGUCUUAAUGCAGUUAGAACAAGUACGCGUUGACCAUCCCUCGAACACCCCUUCUUGUUUAAAUCAAGAGAGACGAUUGCAGUUGAUGUAUGACUUCCACUGGGCUGAGUGGAGAAUGUGUUUGUGCCAUUUUUUACUAGGUUGCAAGUACUCAACUAUGUUCUUUCUGUAGUGAUGAGCAUGUUUUUCCAACUAGUUGAGUUAUUAACAUCAUAUUCAUGUAACUUUACUCUAUACUGUCUUGAGAGAUACUAUUAUGAGAAUUACUGCGUUGAGUUU
Molecule: RNA transcript, 1162 nt
Organism: Salvia hispanica
Lineage: Eukaryota; Viridiplantae; Streptophyta; Magnoliopsida; Lamiales; Lamiaceae
Gene name: U4/U6.U5 small nuclear ribonucleoprotein
Source: RefSeq, a predicted model, not a curated record